This 858-nucleotide ribosomal RNA is filed under the name Salmonella enterica subsp. enterica serovar Rubislaw str. A4-653. RNAcentral describes it as "partial large subunit ribosomal RNA". Lineage: Bacteria; Pseudomonadati; Pseudomonadota; Gammaproteobacteria; Enterobacterales; Enterobacteriaceae. The record is from RNAcentral.
ACUGCCAGGCAUCAAUUUCGUGAAGAAGCCCAUCCAGACGGACGGGCUUUUUUGCGUGUGCGGUAACUGUAAAAUCGUAGGCCUGAUAAGCGCAGCGCCUUAUCCGGCCUACAGGAAUUAUCCCGCCUACGAAUCUGGUGCUAUUGUAUAACCGAUAAGAGCACAACCCACCCAAUCGUUAACGAUGAACUAUCCUUUACACGUGCUUAUAUAAGCAGUGAGGAUUUUCAUUGGCUAUCAAACCUUUUAACUACCAGCAAGACUUUUCCAGCAUUGACUUCCGCCAGCAGCCUGAAUUGUAUCAGGUUGGACGAGGCGAGCAGGGGGUGCUACUGGUUGAACCCUACAAAAGCGAAAUUCUUCCUUUCUGGCGCUAUAAAGAUGAAACAUCGGCGAUGAAAUCCGCAGAACAGAUCUACCAGUUGUUCGAAGCUUACCGGCAGCAGGAUGAUUUCGUUGGUAUGGACAUGGCGCGUAAAUUUAUUCAGAUGGGAUACACCCGCGCCAGGCGAUACGCUAACUAUAAAGGCGGUAAAAAGUAUGCAGAAGACGGCAGCCUGAAUACACGGGGUAAUGAUCCUAUUAAGGCCGCGGCGGCAACGGUUUUCAAAAGUUGGUGGGAUAAAAUUCGUCAGGACGAAGACUAUCUGAAACGGAAACGCCAGCAUCAGGCACGGUGGGGAUAAAAAUUAGCAAACAAAUAAUUAACACUUUAUUUACUUUUUGGUCUCGCGUAAUCUGAAUCUCCAAAAUAAAAGGCCGAUUAAGCCUGGCAACAAGGAGAACAGUAUGGCAGAAAUUAUUCAGCGUAUAGAUAAAAACAACGCUGAGGCUCCGGAGAUGCGGCGACGCAUAUGG